UAAAAAUUAGUUAAUAUCUUAUAACAUAAGUUUGUCAAGCUUAAGUAAUUUUAAAAUAUUUUUAU
Molecule: transfer RNA, 65 nt
Filed under: Pontastacus leptodactylus (narrow-clawed crayfish)
Lineage: Eukaryota; Metazoa; Arthropoda; Malacostraca; Decapoda; Astacidae
Description: Astacus leptodactylus (narrow-clawed crayfish) tRNA-Asp
Source: RNAcentral